Molecule: long non-coding RNA, 582 nt
Organism: Achroia grisella
Lineage: Eukaryota; Metazoa; Arthropoda; Insecta; Lepidoptera; Pyralidae
Exons: 3
Source: RefSeq, a predicted model, not a curated record
CAUGGACACACUGAUGUGUCCAUACUCUAAUGACAAACAAAUAAUUUUUUAUACAACAAAUAUAAUAUAUUGAUCAGAACCCAAACAAUUUCAUUAGCUUACCAAUAUUACAUUUGAACUAUGUACUUAAAACAGUUGUAUAAUUUUAUUAACAACAAAUAUGAAAUUAAAACCUUAUAUAUAUACCUAUUUGUCUGUGACCGGAAGAAUGCACAACUUAGAUUUUGUCCAGAUUAUUAGAAUCCACGCAGAUCCGAACGAACUAAUAUUUAGAUUAAAUAUAAAUUUCUAUAAUUUGUGCAGAUCUUUGUUCAUGUUUUGUCAUAUAUACAGAUGUGUAUCAGAUAUCAUUCUCAGUGAGCAAUGCUUUCAGAAGCUUCGUACUAUUAUAUUAAAUCAUUUUUAUAUAUGAAUACUCAGAAAAGAACUGCAUUAAAAUAUAUUCCCGCAUGGAUCUACACAUAACUACAUACAAGAUAAAUUAUUCCUGACAUCUGGAUGGACAUAACAAUGCACUGGCGUACUAUGUGAAGAUAAUGACUUAUAUGUAUUUGUAACACCAGAUAUUAUCCAACCAAAUAC